Long non-coding RNA from Oncorhynchus tshawytscha (Chinook salmon), 517 nucleotides. NCBI's taxonomy places the organism in Eukaryota, Metazoa, Chordata, Actinopteri, Salmoniformes, Salmonidae. The record is from Ensembl.
GUGUGACAGGGUGAGACUGGGUGUGACAGGGUGAGACAGGGUGAGAAGGUGUGACAGGGUGAGACUAGGUGUGACAGGGUGUGACAGGGUGAGACUGGGUGUGACAGGGUGAGACUAGGUGUGACAGGGUGAGACUGGGUGUGACAGGGUGAGACUGGGUGUGACAGGGUGAGACUAGGUGAGAUCGGGUGAGACAGGGUGAGACGGUGUGACAGGGUGAGACUGGGUUAGACAGGGUGAGACAGGGUGAGACUGGGUGUGACAGGGUGAGACUAGGUGUGACAGGGUGAGACUGGGUGAGACAGGGUGAGACGGUGUGACAGGGUGAGACUGGGUGAGACAGGGUGAGACUGGGUGUGACAGGGUGAGACAGGGUGAGACUGGAUGAGACUGGGUGUGACAGGGCUAGACGGCAUGACAGGGCGAGACAGGGUGAGAAGGUGUGACAGGGUGAGACUAGGUGAGAAGGUGUGACGGGGUGAGACUAGGUGUGACAGGGUGAGACUGGGUGUGACAG